UAGACAAAUACACAAAUUUGAGUCAACAGUGACAAUUCCAAAUAAAAAUUACAUGAAACUACAUUAAACUACAAAAAACCACAAUUAACUACAAAUUUGAUUCAACAGUAUAAUUUGCCAAUCAAAUUUAGGUCAACUGUGACAGUUCCAAAUAAACAUUACAUUACACUACAUUAAACUACAAAAAACUACAAUUGACUAAAUUUGAUUACACAGUAUAUUCAGCCAAACAAUUACACAUUAACUCCGAAUAGCAACAAUUAACUACAAUUUGUAUAAGCAACCCUAAUACAUUAUAUUAUUACAAAAAACACUUAGAUGCCAAACAAACAAUUGAAUUCUAAUUUUUUGGCAAAAAAAUAUUAAACUACAAAACAUUGUCGAGAAAAAAAAAGUUGUUUACCUUAACUGAAAUUUGUUGUGGAACCAAUUUUGUGGUUUUUUAGAGUGUUUCAACUUUUUUUGCUUUGAGGGGGAAUGAGACACCUUCUGUAUUUUUGUUUUUUGAACUUUGGGUGAAUCGUCCACAAAAUCAUCAUAUUUUUUUAGAGUGUUUCAACAUUUUUUGCUUUGAGGGGGAAUGAGACACCUUCUGUAUUUUUGUUUUUUGAACUUUGGGUAAAUCGUCCACAAAAUCAUCAUCGUCGACCCUCAAGCUUUUCCCCUUUCGCUUGCGUUGUUUGUCGGCUUCUGUUUCUACACCGGUA
Molecule: long non-coding RNA, 707 nt
Filed under: Nicotiana benthamiana
Lineage: Eukaryota; Viridiplantae; Streptophyta; Magnoliopsida; Solanales; Solanaceae
Description: long non-coding RNA (NBEN_LNC007708)
Source: RNAcentral